Bufo bufo (common toad) is the source of this 272-nucleotide long non-coding RNA. RefSeq lists it as uncharacterized. The record is from RefSeq and is a predicted model, not a curated record. NCBI's taxonomy places the organism in Eukaryota, Metazoa, Chordata, Amphibia, Anura, Bufonidae. The transcript is spliced from 3 exons.
AUUUACUGUGUUUUUUGAGUAAUCUGAUGUAAAAGCUGACGUUGCGGGUCAGUUUCUAUAUAAUGGGGAGUGAGGUAAAAUCAAGUAAAAGGGAAGACAAGAAGCGACACCUAAAGAUCAUCAGAUAUAAGCCACUAAAGGCUUUUCUACACAGCACUCGCACCCCAAUAACGAAUUGCUGGAAUAACAGAGAGGUAUCUGGAUCCCCGGGUCAGCAUGUAUACUGCGCCUGAUGUAAACCUGACCUUUGCUGAUAUAUAUCAGUUUUACAA